Molecule: long non-coding RNA, 868 nt
Filed under: Erythranthe guttata (spotted monkey flower)
Lineage: Eukaryota; Viridiplantae; Streptophyta; Magnoliopsida; Lamiales; Phrymaceae
Description: long non-coding RNA (EGUT_LNC002448)
Source: RNAcentral
GCAGAAGGUUGGCUAGGUGGGCAGUGCUUGCAAACGUCUCGCUAAUGGCUUGCUGGAUUGGGUUUCUCUGCACUUCGGGUAUGCCUUUGUACGCAAGUAAGGGCACUUCUUCUUCUUCGCAGAUUUCUUGAGAUGAUCCGUUUGCAUUUUCGUUUUCCACUUUGAUCUGCAUUUUUCAAGAAGCUUUUUUAGCUGGCUAUUUAUUAUUCUCGAUUUUAUGAUCCGGGCUUGUUUGUGAUGAUAAAUUUUAUUUAUAGGCAAGUAAAGAAUGAUUGGGUUGUGUGGAAGGGAAGGCAAUCGAGCAAAGCUAGUUUUGCCUUGCAAGAAACAUAAACAAGCAACUUUUUUCUCGGCACGAUUUUUUGCACAUUACGAAUUUCCCUUUCCAGGUUUGUUGGUGAUGAGUUAGUACUUCAUCGUCAUCUUUAAUUUUCGGGGAUCAGAGCUUUCGAGUAACGUUUUGGUGUUCCAAUUUUUUUAUGUUUGGAAGGAUGGAGUAGAAGUUUAUUAGAUUGGGAUUUGGGACGUCACUGAAUGCAGUUAUUUUGCUGAGACGCAAAGUUUCAGCAUGGAUUUCUUGUGCUGCUUUACUCGUGUUUUUUAAGGUGACGUUUCUUUGCUCUUGUUCUGCUGCUUUUACUGUUUUUCUCCUUUUCCCUAAAUAGCAUAAUUCUUCUUUUUAUUAAGCGUUUUAUUACGUCAUCAUGACAAAGCGGGCACGAUUUAGGAUUAUAUAUGUCACACGUUUGUCUAAAUUAGAACACUAACCAUUAAAGAACCCAUAAUUAGUUUGUGGGCUUAUGGGCUUUUAUUCUUUACUUUUAAAUGGGCCUUUUAAGCCAACCCUUCCAUUAAACUUGGGCCCACU